This 69-nucleotide transfer RNA is filed under the name Allobates aff. tapajos 2 AR-2020. Its description in RNAcentral is "tRNA-His". The record is from RNAcentral. Lineage: Eukaryota; Metazoa; Chordata; Amphibia; Anura; Aromobatidae.
GUGAACAUAGUUUAUAACAAAUUCUAGUCCGUGACACUAGAGAUGAAGACUAACUAUCUUCUGCUCACC